AUAAACCGCUUAGUAAGCCACUGCUGCAGUUUCUUGAUUAUGGAGUUCUGUGCUGGUUGUUGAGGUGAUCACUACUUUGAUCUCUUGCUACUGCCUUCUGGGUAAAAGGUGAAUGGGUCCAAUGUUAGUAAUCCCAAAGUUGAAGCAUUGAUGAAGAGACAAGACUAGACCCCUGGGAGACACUUUUUCUGGAUUGUAACACAUCACCAGAUAUUUGUUACUGCCAACACUACUCACUUGAACUUUUCCCCUCUCAAUUGUGACAUAACUAAGGCUCCAACAGUCUAAAUUUUCGAGGAAAUCUGUUCCUGAAUAGUCCAUGCUUCAAAUCGAGGAGGAGGAGUACUAUCACCUCUUGGCUGAGAAGAUCUACAAGAUCCAGAAAGAACUGCAGGAGAAGCGACAGAAGAGGAUGCAGGAGACAGCAGGUACUGACACAGGAAACAGGAGGCACUGUGACGCAUGAGACAUCAGGCACUGAUGCUGCCACUGGUGGCAUCCCCAUGACGGCAGCAGUGCAGCUGCCCCAGCCACAGCCUCCCCACUAACUGCCCAGACCAUUAUGUCUACUGGGAAAAUGUAGCUCUUUCAACCAACUUAUAUCAGAACUAUGCUGUACAUAACUAUAUGGUCUUGAAGGUUUAUUUUGGUGUCAGUGUUGGUUUGGCUCAGCAGUGAAAAGUGGACUGGUAGAAUGGGGCGUCAGGUUGGCAUAGUGACACUUUUGUCACCUUCCGCUUUUGUGAAUCCAUCCCAGGUUUAAUGUGUGGAUUUUUUCAGUCUUUACUUAAUUUUGUGGGUAAUUUCUCUAUAAUGUUCAUGUGGAGUUUUUCCUUCCACUUCUAAAACUGAACAUUAUCCUCAUAUCUUUGCAGUUGUAAUUUGAAGAUCGUCACGUUUCUCAAGUGGUUACUGGCAGCCCUUUGAAAAACAUACUGGAGAUUAUAUUGCUACCAUCAAUAAAUAAAGCUGGAAUUGUUAUUGUUAUUGUUGUUGAAAUUACACAGGGUAAAUGGUAUUGGUUAUGGUAGCAGGGGCAGAUUUCCUUUUUUUUUUACAUUGGUCGCUUAUUGCUUUUGUUUUGCUGGGGAUUAUCGGAGAUGCUGCCCCGCACUCUAGCAGUGCAAUCAGCGGGUGUAACCUUGCCCAUUGCAGGAGUGAUGUGAAGGGCUAGGAAGUUUGCAGUAUUUAUAGAAAUUGCAGUGACCCAUGGUCAUAAAUACCUUCUGAAUUAAUAUUUCUUAAUGUGGUCAUAAUACAGACUGAUCGUUUGUGGUUCACUCAAGGAAGUCUGUACAUAGGUUAACAUAAAUUUGGUGUGUGAUGUCUACUUACAGUUUUAUUUCAAUUCCAAACAUCUGUAACUUUUUAAGUGAAUAAUCAAGACCUUUUCUUUAUUUGUAGUUUUCUGAAGGCUUUUAAUUUACUUCAUAUUUGAACAGUGAUGUCACCCAUAGAUCAUCGUCCAAUUUUUAUGACUGCAGAUGAAUUGACUCAGAAUGUGUACAAAAUGCAGAUGUAAAACAAAAAUUGUACGAUGUAAACAACAAAUAAAAGUGUAAUGCAAAUGUGAAUUUUAUGUUUUGAAACACGUUCCAUAUCUCAGUAUGUGGAAUGAAAAAAAAUUGUACGAUGCAGACAAGAAAAAUAAGUGUAAUGCAAAUGUGAAUUUUAGGUUUUGAAACACAUUCCAUAUCUCGGUAUGGGAAAGAAGAUGUCAAUUGUACUCAUAGUCAGUAAAUGUAACUAACUCAAGCUUAAAAUUGUAUUUCUGAUAGGAGCUUCACGCAUUAGGUGCUUCUGGAAAAUUUGUAUCUUUUUCUGCAAACAACUGUCCUUGCCUAUUGUCUCUUUCAUGACUUGAACAAGGCUCUUGCCGCGAAUAAAUUAGAUUGCUAAUUUGAUAGACAAACAAACAGAUAUUUACAUGUAUGUAGAUAGGGUCUGCUGCUUGCCAAAGAGAAAACAAAUAAAAUGGAAAGGUUCAACAGCAACUCUUAAAUUUGAAGGUCCCUUUUCCUUGAAUGUCUGUAUUUAAACAAGAUAUGCUCUUAUUUCUAUUUUUGUAAAUCCAUUUUAGACAAGAUUGCAUAUUGCCAUUAUCUGGCCAUCUGUAUACACAGGUACAAGCUAAUGGUUUCAAACACCAAGCAUACCUUGACUCAGUCAACUCGACUGACAUUUAAAUUUAACAUGCCAAUGCUCUGUUUUGUUUUUCAAGCACACACAAAGUCUGAGAAGUCUGUGGAGGUACACUGUGUGUUAAAUAUGAAUUUGGCAGCCGUGCAUAUAUGGCCCUGUUGUAGUACAGUAUAUACCACUCCAUGGGCAUGUCCCACUUUGUUGAAAAGUAUGAGGUUGUUGUAAAAAAUAUGGUACAUAUACUCUUCAAAUGACUCGUGUAAAUCAGUACUUAUGGAGUUGUCUGUGUUGAUGGCCAUAUCUUACCUUUUUCAAGAGUUGAAAUUUUUGGCCAAAAACUAUACCCACCUGCAAGUGGACAAGAGGAAAGGGGUGGAAGAUUUGAGAAGUAAAUUGCAAUUCAUGUUUCUUUAUUUCCACUUCUUUGAUUUUUUUUCAUAAACAGAAGAUUCUCUAUCCGAUUUGCCAUGCUUGGUCUUGAAAGUCACAGAUUUGAGUCUUAUGAUGGGAACACCUUGCGAUAGAAAAAUAAAAUAGCUUAAGGCCUUAGUACUGAACACUUCCAGUCUCCCUCAGGAAACUUCUAAGUGGCUUUGAUCUAUGCAUUUUGUAUUCCAGAAUGGUCCACCUAUCAAAAACGGGCUUGCUUAUGUGUCAGGCUUAUGUAAUA
This is a long non-coding RNA of Acanthaster planci (crown-of-thorns starfish), 2812 nucleotides long. RefSeq lists it as uncharacterized. NCBI's taxonomy places the organism in Eukaryota, Metazoa, Echinodermata, Asteroidea, Valvatida, Acanthasteridae. The record is from RefSeq and is a predicted model, not a curated record.